AACGAACGCUGGCGGCAGGCCUAACACAUGCAAGUCGAGCGCCCCGCAAGGGGAGCGGCGGACGGGUGAGUAAUAGGUAGGUAACCUACCUCAUACUGAGGCAUAGCUGGGAGAAAUUCCAGGUAAUUCCUCAUGAGGUUAUAUGACACAUGUGAUAUAAUCAAAGGUAUCGCAAGGUACUGGUAUGAGAUGGGCUUACUGACCAUUAGCUAGUUGGUGAGAUAAGAGCUCACCAAGGCGAAGAUGGUUAGGGGUUUUGAGAGAGAGAUCCCCCACAUUGGAACUGAGAUACGGUCCAGACUCCUACGGGAGGCAGCAGUAGGGAAUAUUGGGCAAUGGGCGGAAGCCUGACCCAGCCAUGCCGCGUGAAGGAAGACGGCCUUAUGGGUUGUAAACUUCUUUACUAUGCGACUAACUAGAUUUACGAGAUAAUUCUAUAGAAUGUAGCAUAGCAAAAAGCACCGGCUAACUCCGUGCCAGCAGCCGC
RNAcentral lists this ribosomal RNA (487 nucleotides) under uncultured bacterium. RNAcentral's name for it is "bacterial SSU rRNA". It matches the Rfam family "Bacterial small subunit ribosomal RNA", at positions 29 to 518 of the family's 1533-position model. The record is from RNAcentral.